UGGAUCCAGACUUUGAUUAUGGCUCAGGAUGAACGCUAGCUACAGGCUUAACACAUGCAAGUCGAGGGGAAACGACAUCGAAAGCUUGCUUUUGAUGGGCGUCGACCGGCGCACGGGUGAGUAACGCGUAUCCAACCUGCCCACCACUUGGGGAUAACCUUGCGAAAGUAAGACUAAUACCCAAUGAUAUCUCUAGAAGACAUCUGAAAGAGAUUAAAGAUUUAUCGGUGAUGGAUGGGGAUGCGUCUGAUUAGCUUGUUGGCGGGGUAACGGCCCACCAAGGCAACGAUCAGUAGGGGUUCUGAGAGGAAGGUCCCCCACAUUGGAACUGAGACACGGUCCAAACUCCUACGGGAGGCAGCAGUGAGGAAUAUUGGUCAAUGGACGAGAGUCUGAACCAGCCAAGUAGCGUGCAGGAUGACGGCCCUAUGGGUUGUAAACUGCUUUUAUAAGGGAAUAAAGUGAGUCUCGUGAGACUUUUUGCAUGUACCUUAUGAAUAAGGACCGGCUAAUUCCGUGCCAGCAGCCGCGGUAAUACGGAAGGUCCGGGCGUUAUCCGGAUUUAUUGGGUUUAAAGGGAGCGUAGGCCGGAGAUUAAGCGUGUUGUGAAAUGUAGACGCUCAACGUCUGCACUGCAGCGCGAACUGGUUUCCUUGAGUACGCACAAAGUGGGCGGAAUUCGUGGUGUAGCGGUGAAAUGCUUAGAUAUCACGAAGAACUCCGAUUGCGAUGGCAGCUCACUGGAGCGCAACUGACGCUGAAGCUCGAAAGUGCGGGUAUCGAACAGGAUUAGAUACCCUGGUAGUCCGCACGGUAAACGAUGGAUGCCCGCUGUUGGUCUGAAUAGGUCAGCGGCCAAGCGAAAGCAUUAAGCAUCCCACCUGGGGAGUACGCCGGCAACGGUGCAACUCAAAUGAAUUGACGGA
Molecule: ribosomal RNA, 926 nt
Filed under: uncultured Bacteroidota bacterium
Lineage: Bacteria; Pseudomonadati; Bacteroidota
Description: bacterial SSU rRNA
Rfam family: Bacterial small subunit ribosomal RNA
Source: RNAcentral